CAGUCGCCACGGGAAUACGUAGGUGGCGAGCGUUGUCCGGAUUUAUUGGGCGUAAAGGGAGUGUAGGCGGUCCUUUAAGUCUGAUGUGAAAGCCCACGGCUCAACCGUGGAGGGUCAUUGGAAACUGGGAGACUUGAGUGCAGAAGAGGAGAGCGGAAUUCCAUGUGUAGCGGUGAAAUGUGUAGAGAUGUGGAGGAACACCAGUGGCGAAGGCGACUCUCUGGUCUGUAACUGACGCUGAGGAGCGAAAGCGUGGGGAGCGAACAGGAUUAGAUACCCGGGUAGUCCCUGUCUCUUAUAC
Molecule: ribosomal RNA, 301 nt
Filed under: uncultured bacterium
Lineage: Bacteria
Description: partial 16S ribosomal RNA
Rfam family: Bacterial small subunit ribosomal RNA
Source: RNAcentral